GAUCGUACAACUCCGUGAAUAUACUAAAACCCCAGAGUUGUAUACCCUAGGAAAUUUUUUUUUUUUUGGAGACAAGGUCUUGCUCUGUUCCCCAGGCUUGAGUGCAGUGGCACAAUCUUGGUUCACAACAACCUCCCCCUCCUGGGUUCAAGUGAUUCGUGUGCCUCUCCAUUAGCUGGGACUACAGGCGCAUGCCACCACAUCCCAUUAACUUCAGAAUUUUUUUUUUUUUUUUCAGAUGGAGUCUCACUCUGUCACCCAGGAUGGAGUACAGUGGCGUGAUCUCGGCUCACUGCAAGCUCCGCCUCCUGGGUUCAUGCCAUUCUCCUGCCUUAGCCUCCCGAGUAGCUGGGACUACAGGCGCCUGCCACCACGCCCGGCUAAUUUUUGUAUUUUUAGUAGAGACAGGGUUUCACCGCAUUAGCCAGGAUGGUCUCGAUCUCCUGACCUCGUGAUCCGCCCGCCUCAGCCUCCCAAAGUGCUGGGAUUACAGGCGUGAGUCACUGUGCCCAGCCAAGUUUAGUAUUUUUUGUAGAGACAGAGUUUCACCAUGUUGGCCAGGCUGGUCUUGCACUCAUGGCCUCAAGUGAUCCACCUGCCUCGGCCUCCGAAAGUGCUGGGAUUACAGGCGUAAGCCACUGUGCCUGGCCUUAAAUGGGUAAAUUUCAUAUGGUAUAUGAAUUAUAUUUCACUAAAACUUUAAGAAAACAUUAUACAGUACUGUUCAAAUUUUAAGUGGUCCAAUUUAAAUGCACUAUUGUAUACAAUUCUAUGUAAUGUCCUUACCAUGGUAUAUGUUAACUAUAAAUAUCUAUGCCCCUACCCUUAGUAUCAAAGCAUAUAUUAUAUGCCAGUGAGCCAAGCCCCACAUGUCUGUGAAAUGUGGUCUUCUAGCCAUAGAAGUAGCUUGUGCUCCUAGGGUAUUCCUUGAGGCUCUGUAUGAAGAAUGUCCAUUUGUUUGAGUCCCUAACCUACAGAAUAUUCCUGACCAUGGAAAUGUGAUAGAUAGGAGUAAGCACAUGGACCAAAAGGCCUGGAGGCUCAUCAUUUAAGGUACAAGCCAAUUAUGUAGUCUUUGAAAGAAUGCUUUGAAAUUCAGCUUGCUUGAUUCAAUUCCCAAUAUUUUCAUUUGUAUUAAAAGAUUUGGCCCUUACAGGUUAAAAACAAUGUCAGUGUAACCAAGUGACAUUCAAAUUUUGGCUCCCAACAUGUGAUAUGACAUCACUUCAUGUGAAAAUAGCGAAGCUCCAAACAUUUUCUUUCAGUCACCUUAUUAAGCUCGCUGAGCCCUGACAGCCUAAUGAAAGGCUAAGGGGGAAGAAAAUGUCCCAACUUCUACACUGUUGAAGAUGGGCUAAUGAGAGGUUAGCUUGCAAGAAUCAUUCUUUCUUGGCAUCCUGCUUCUGACUGCUUGGCUUUCAGCUUAUACCCAGCAUGAAAAUUUAAUUUCCUCGCAGUUGAAGGUAGUUUAAAGCUUAUUACUCACAUGCUAAAAUGUUGAUGUAUCUGUUUUUGUGCUUGUUUUCUGGAUGAUUGGAAUGCUCUGCAGUGAUGUUCAUAUCAGCAGUACAGCGCUGGACUUCCUAGUGAAGAAAACAGCAAGAUUAUAGACACAGUUUAGAAACAAAGGAACACCAUAUACAUUUAAAGGCAUAAAGUAUUUACUCACUCCCUGGCCACAGCCACCGUUACCUUCUCAAUCCCAACUUCGGAUAUAAUUAUUGAUAUAUUUAUAACGAGUUUAUGAAGAAUGUGAAAAAGGUAUAAAGAUUUCAUUAUUUACUAUUUCAUCAAUCAUCUACUUUUUUCUAGUUUUUGACCUAGUCCCUGAGAUGUAAAACAAUAUCUCUUUUUGAAUACAUCAUAGUCUAUGGGUGAGAAAAAUAUUCAAAAAGAUAGUCAAACAUGAUGAAUACAAAAGAGGCCUGAGAAAGCUCUGAUGGGAGCACAGAACAGAGGAAGGCUUUAGACAGGUGAAAAAAUUUACCUAAGUCUUAAAGGAAGAAAGGGAAUUUCUAAGAAGUAUAAUCUCUACCAUGAUUUGCAAUAUGCUUACAGGCCUUAUAGCCUCAUUUUAUAAUUGUGAGGGUGCAUUGACUCUAAAGACUCAGUGCUGAAAUAACCCUAAUAACAGCCCAACUAAUGGUCAUAUCUCAUAUAUACAGUCUUGACAAAUUAUUUGUGAACUCUAGUAUUUUAAAAGUUAUCCUUCUUUGGAAAAAUAGCAGUAGCAGAAAUAACACUCUUAUCCUACCUUGGCCGUGGAUUUAAACGUCAUCCAUUAGCCUAAUACAACGUUGCUGAAAAGCCAAAUUUUUCUACACUAUAUGCUUCAAACCCAAGAAAGUACUGGAGCUGACUAAUAAGGGAAGUCAUUAGCAGUACACAGCUGCUACAAAGAGCCUGAACAAAGUAACACAAAAUUAUCAGGAGAAAUGUUUUACACAGAACAGAUGUAGCAGAGUUUAGAAGCAUGCAGACUUUUUUUUUCCACAAAGGAGUUGCCUAGUAAUUAUGCAUGUUUUCCAUAGUAUUUACAUUAAACAUAAUGAAAACAAUGAACUGGUUGUCUUUUAUAUUCACAAAGUACUUCCCCAGGGAGAAGUACACUUCUUCUCUAGAAGGAGGAAGUUACUGUACUCAAAGAAUUUAAGGUAUAAAAGCAAAGAAUUUCUGUGUGUUCAAAGAAACAGUAUUCAAUGACUCUCCAAUUGUUGGACACUGUAAAUUGAAGUUUCCAUAAUUAUAGUCCUUCCCAGCUGUCCAUUUAAAAAAAAAAAAAAAAGCCCCACAGGCAUUAAUUCAAUCCACCUUUCUGGGAAAGUGUGUUUAAUGACAGUUCUUACCCUUUCCUUACUCUUACUAAACUCCAAUAUAUUCUGUUCUAACAUAGUUUAUAACCUAUGGUUUGGAAAACACUGGUUUAAGGAGCUUUAAGGCUGCCCUUUGGCUCUUCUCUAAAAUGAGAUAAUAAAGUGUGAUCACAAAUCAGUCUACGUAAGAACAUGAGCAAUGCUAGCCAAACUUAGCACGUUGGGACCUGCCUUUUGAAACUGCCUUAUAAGCUCUGAGCCAUGCUCUUUUGAAGAGUUUCAAGGGCAGACAACUUUUGAAAAUGGAUUUGAAACAAGUUAGUCUUUUGUUUUCGGGUUUUGAAGGUCACACCUUUGGCAUGUACUUCUUUAGGGUUGAGUUGUUCAGGUAUCUUAUGCUGAGAGAUUUUGGCUUUUAGUACCUUAGUCUGAGAUUUACUUUGUUUAUUGAUUUUUUUUUCCUGUUGUAUAGAUCUGACCACCCUAGCUAUGGACUGAAGUUGGAGCCUCUUUUCUAAUAUAAUGCAAUUGACCAAGACUGCUUGGGAGCAGCUGUCAGUAUUGUUUAAAGCUGUCAUUCAAUAUGGCCAAACUCUUUGUUAUCUAAAACCCCUUGUCUGAUCUGUUGCCUCUGUUUCACUUUUCCAAUUAGAUGAAUGACAGAAACAAAAAAUCGUAAUAAAUAUUGUCA
This 3504-nucleotide long non-coding RNA is filed under the name Homo sapiens (human). Its description in RNAcentral is "non-protein coding PTPRG-AS1:14". Lineage: Eukaryota; Metazoa; Chordata; Mammalia; Primates; Hominidae. The record is from RNAcentral.